GUGCUCCCUCUGUGGGGAACCCUCCCUAAGUAGUGAGCAUCCAAAAAUGGUUCCGGAGACUGGAAGAAGGGGUUGCCUCCGGGAGAGGCCUGCAUACACUCUUUCCCCACCGUGCUUCUCAGCCCUGGGAUCUAGCCGGGAUCCUGAGCCAGGAGGGAUUAUCUGCCGCUGGGCCUUCAGCUCCUUCCUGCCCUCCCCGAAGCUGCUGACAGCCAGCCCUGCUUCCCUGGGGAGCUGCAGGACUGCCUUCCUGCUUUCUGCGACCUCCAUGAAGAAAAAUUCAUCACCGGAUGGCUGAGCAAUCCAGGCGGGCUCCAGAAAAAUGACAUUGAGUCACCUGGGCGCUCAUCGCUCUGACAGCCGUAGACUCACUGGGCCGCUAAUUAGCUCUUACAGGAAAGGGCCAGAUCUGUCAUCUUCCUCCGGAAGUGCCGGGCAGGAUUAGCUGCUGCUCCUGGAGGCUGGAGCCUCAUCCCAGGACAGGGGGACUCUGAGGGAUUCCAGUGAGCAGUGGGAAGACAGCCGUCCUUCCACUGGGGAAUCUCACUUCUGGGAAUUUAUCCCAGGGGAACAACCCAACCAGAAAGCUGAGCUGCACUCGACCAAGUCCAGCCUUGAGAAUGCCCUUGUUGCCCAGCAGUGGGGGAGGGGGGAGCAGUCAAGACCUUGGGGGCUUGCCAAUUAUGGAGUUAUGGCCUAUGAUGAGGAUGAGACACAGAGCCAUGGUGUGGAGAAUCAAAACUUUAUCACCCUGAUACCUGAACUUGCCCAUCUCAGCCAAGCCUGCCCUAAACACGCCUAUUUCUGACCCAGUGAUCCACAUAGGGGACCUGGUCACUCAACUCCCUGCUAAUGUGUAUCCUCACAUCUGACAGCUCUGCUUAAAUCACGGAUCUAGACCUUGAGUCUUAGCAGCAUUUGUCAACUGGACCUAGUGUCAAGACUCACUGUGCCUGGCUGGGUCGCCAGCUACCAGCCCUUGUCUCCCUCUCUCCCACCCCCAGGGCACCCCAGUCAGCUGGGCGAGGAGCUUGUCAUGGUCCUGGAGGAAGGCUUUUCCAGUCAGUAGUGUGUAGAUGAUCUGAACCACUGCUUGGAUAAAGGUUUCAUUUUUUCUCAACUGAAGCUGUUACCCUGGAGAAUCAGAAGACAGAGACUGUAGGCCAUAGGAACACCACUGGGAGACAAAAGGCUUCCACAAAGUGAGGACAAAUUGAAUUGUCUCAGCAAUUUCCCUGGAAUUUAGCGGUUGAGUGUGCGG
RNAcentral lists this long non-coding RNA (1261 nucleotides) under Cricetulus griseus (Chinese hamster). Its description in RNAcentral is "lncRNA (ENSCGRG00015039853.1)". The record is from RNAcentral. Lineage: Eukaryota; Metazoa; Chordata; Mammalia; Rodentia; Cricetidae.